GAUAUUUUAUAUUGUUUCUCCUCUUGUUGCAUCCUUUAAAAGGAGAAACAAUGCAACAAGAGGAGAAACAAUGUAAAUAUUUCUUAAAGGAUACUGUUUACAUCUCAGAGAUUAUAAGAAAAGAAGAAACAGUGUAAAUAUCUCUCAAAUAGUAUAACUUUCGUUUAAAGAGUGUAACUUUCAUAUUAAAGGAUGCAGUUUAUAUCUCAAAGAGUACAAUAAGAAAAAAAUAGUGUAAAUAUUUUCUAAAGACUAUAAUUUUUGUUUAA
RNAcentral lists this long non-coding RNA (269 nucleotides) under Ananas comosus (pineapple). Its description in RNAcentral is "long non-coding RNA (ACOM_LNC035479)". The record is from RNAcentral. Lineage: Eukaryota; Viridiplantae; Streptophyta; Magnoliopsida; Poales; Bromeliaceae.